RNAcentral lists this ribosomal RNA (440 nucleotides) under uncultured bacterium. RNAcentral's name for it is "bacterial SSU rRNA". It matches the Rfam family "Bacterial small subunit ribosomal RNA", at positions 958 to 1398 of the family's 1533-position model. The record is from RNAcentral.
AACGCGAAGAACCUUACCUGGGUUUGACAUGCACAGGACGGUCGUAGAGAUACGGCUUCCCUUGUGGCCUGUGUGCAGGUGGUGCAUGGCUGUCGUCAGCUCGUGUCGUGAGAUGUUGGGUUAAGUCCCGCAACGAGCGCAACCCUUGUCUCAUGUUGCCAGCGCGUUAUGGCGGGGACUCGUGAGAGACUGCCGGGGUCAACUCGGAGGAAGGUGGGGAUGACGUCAAGUCAUCAUGCCCCUUAUGUCCAGGGCUUCACACAUGCUACAAUGGCCGGUACAAAGGGCUGCGAUGCCGUGAGGUUAAGCGAAUCCUUUAAAGCCGGUCUCAGUUCGGAUCGGGGUCUGCAACUCGACCCCGUGAAGUCGGAGUCGCUAGUAAUCGCAGAUCAGCAACGCUGCGGUGAAUACGUUCCCGGGCCUUGUACACACCGUAGUAC